This is a long non-coding RNA of Ananas comosus (pineapple), 670 nucleotides long. RefSeq lists it as uncharacterized. The record is from RefSeq and is a predicted model, not a curated record. Lineage: Eukaryota; Viridiplantae; Streptophyta; Magnoliopsida; Poales; Bromeliaceae. The transcript has 2 exons.
ACUGAAAGAUUAAAAUUUUUUUGUACUUGUUAAGUAAAACCAAGCCUGACUGUCAAAUUUGAGUGCAAACGGACAUUCAGAAGGGCUCCGACGAAAAACGUCAGUUUGUAAGCUGCUAAUCUGCUAAUGUGAAUAGUGUAAUGUUGAGGGGGUUUUGUAUAAAAGGUGGUCUUCUUCUUCUUCUCCCUCAACCGAGCCACACCACCAGCCCACACACGUUUGGAGAGGGCGAGAGAGAAACCCUCCCUUUCUCUCUCUAAAUAUCUCUAUCAUCUCUCUAGAUCUCUCUCUACAAAUUUGAGGGUUGGUGGAAAGCAAGCUUGGGAACGCGUUGGGAGCGUCGGAUCGGGCCUUCGUGCGCCCGGUUGAGCGGCGUGCCUCCGUCUUGACGUUUACGUUUUGGUUCACACGUGAGCGGCGCGGCGGAGCGAGGUGAGGGCGUAGCUCCGUAGUUAGCGCCCUACCACCGAGACCGGAGAUAGCGAUACCCUAAGUCGGCUUAGCUUAGGGGUUUAGUAAUGGAAAGAACAAUGUUGUAAUAAUUAUGUUGGAAACUUGAUUGUAUUUGAAAGUAAGAAUCAAAGAAUUAAAAAGGAAUGGCAAUAUGUGAUGUAAUAAGUAAUAUGUUAGUUGAAUACAUGUAAUAACUUAGUUGUUUAUGUUUUCGAUA